GACAGAGGGUGCAAACGUUGUUCGGAAUUACUGGGCGUAAAGCGCGUGUAGGCUGUUCGGAAAGUCGGAUGUGAAAGCCCGGGGCUCAACCCCGGAGGUGCAUCCGAAACUCUGGGGCUGGAGGUCGGAAGAGGAGGGUGGAAUACCCAGUGUAGAGGUGAAAUUCGUAGAUAUUAGGAAGAACACCGGUGGCGAAGGCGGCCCACUGGAUCGGUACUGACGCUGAGGUGCGAAAGCGUGGGGAGCAAACAGG
This 253-nucleotide ribosomal RNA is filed under the name uncultured bacterium. RNAcentral describes it as "partial 16S ribosomal RNA". It matches the Rfam family "Bacterial small subunit ribosomal RNA", at positions 524 to 776 of the family's 1533-position model. The record is from RNAcentral.